CAAGUCGAGCGAGAAAGUGUAGCAAUACAUGAGUAAAGCGGCGCACGGGUGAGUAACACGUGGAUAACCUGCCUCAAAGUGGGGAAUAACACCGGGAAACCGGUGCUAAUACCGCAUAUUCUGAUGGAGCCUGCGGGCUUUGUCAGUAAAGGAGCAAUUCGCUAUGAGAGGGGUCCGCGGCUGAUUAGCUAGUUGGUGAGGUAAUGGCUCACCAAGGCAACGAUCAGUAGCCGGUCUGAGAGGACGGUCGGCCACACUGGAACUGAGACACGGUCCAGACUCCUACGGGAGGCAGCAGUGGGGAAUUUUUCGCAAUGGGGGCAACCCUGACGAAGCAAUGCCGCGUGGAUGAUGAAGUAUUUCGGUACGUAAAAUCCUUUCGACGGGGACGAAACCGCAAGGUUGACGGUACCCGUAGAAGAAGCCCCGGCUAACUCCGUGCCAGCAGCCGCGGUAAUACGGGGGGGGCAAGCGUUGUUCGGAAUUACUGGGCGUAAAGGGUGCGUAGGCGGCUUUCUAAGUUGGAUGUGAAAACUAUGGGCUCAACCCAUAGCCUGCAUCCAAAACUGGAGAGCUUGGGUUCUGGAGGGGAAAGCGGAAUUCCUGGUGUAGCGGUGAAAUGCGUAGAUAUCAGGAGGAACACCGGUGGCGAAGGCGGCUUUCUGGACAGAUACCGACGCUGAGGCACGAAAGCUAGGGGAGCAAACAGGAUUAGAUACCCUGGUAGUCCUAGCCCUAAACGAUGGAUACUUGCUGUGAGGGGGAUUGAAACCCCUUGUGGCGAAGCUAACGCAUUAAGUAUCCCGCCUGGGGAGUACCGUCGCAAGGCUGAAACUCAAAGGAAUUGACGGGGGCCCGCACAAGCGGUGGAGUAUGUGGUUUAAUUCGACGCACGCG
RNAcentral lists this ribosomal RNA (897 nucleotides) under uncultured Bacillota bacterium. RNAcentral's name for it is "bacterial SSU rRNA". It matches the Rfam family "Bacterial small subunit ribosomal RNA", at positions 58 to 963 of the family's 1533-position model. The record is from RNAcentral. Lineage: Bacteria; Bacillati; Bacillota.